Molecule: long non-coding RNA, 6236 nt
Organism: Aedes albopictus (Asian tiger mosquito)
Lineage: Eukaryota; Metazoa; Arthropoda; Insecta; Diptera; Culicidae
Exons: 2
Source: RefSeq, a predicted model, not a curated record
UCUGAAAGGGGGAAUCCCUGGAUUACUGGAGAAAUCUUAGAGCAAAUUAGAGAAAUUUCUGAAGAUAUCGCUUGAAGAAUCCCGGGAGGAAUUCCUAGACCAAUUUCUGGAGGAAUCCUUGGAGAAGUUUUUGGACAAAUUCCGGGAGGCAUUUCUAGAGGAAUUCUGUAGGAAAUCCUGGAGGAACUUCUUGACAAAUCCUGGCGAAAUCCCUGGAGAAAUACCUGGUGAAAACCCUGGAAAAAGUCCUGGAGGAAUUUCCGAAAGUAUACUUGGCGGAGUUCCUUGAGGACCGCUAGUGGAUUUUUUGGAGAAACCCAUGAAGAAAUUUCUGAAGGAAUAAUUGGAGAAAUUCCUGGACGAAUGCCUGGAGUAUUCACUGGAUAAAUUUCUAGAGGAAUCUUUGGAUGAAUUCGUGGAGAAAUUCCUAAAAGAAUUCCAGGGGGAAUUCCUGCAGAAAUACCUAGAGGAAGCACUGGAGGAACCACUGGAGGAAUCCCUGGAGAAAUUCCAGGAGAAAUCCUGAGGUGAACCUUGAAUGAAUUCCUGGAGGAUUCGCUGGAGAAAUUCUGGGAGGAAUCCUUGGAGAAUUCCCUAGGGAAUCCUUGGAUAAAUUUCUGAAAUUUUUUUUGAGAAAUUCUGGGAGAAAUCCUUAGAUAAAAAUCUGGAAAAAUUCAUGGAAGAAUCCCUGGGAAUUCUUGGAGAAAUCCCUGGAGGAGUUUGUGAAGGAAUCACUGAAGCAUUUUUUUGGAGGAACCUCAGGAGGAAUGCAUGGAAGAACUUAUGGAAAAAUUCCUGGCAGAAUUCCAGGAGAAAUUCCCGGAAAAAUACUCAGAGAAAAUCUUUGGGUAAUUCCGAGAAACUAUCCCCAGAAGAAUUCCUGGGGAAGUCUCUGGAGAAAUUUCUGAAGAAAUUCCUUGAGAAAUUUCUACAUCAAUUCCUAGAGGAAUUUCUGAAGUAAUUCUAGGAGGAAUCCUUGGAGGAAUAUCUGGAUGAAUUACUGGAGGAAUCAUCGGAGAAAUUCCCGGAGAAAUCUCUGGAAGAACCGUUAGAGGAAUCCCUGAAGAAAUUCCUAGAGCAUUUGGUGGAAUUUCUGGUGAAAUCCGUGAAAUGAUUCCAGGAGGAAUCUCUACAGGAAUUUCUGGAGAAAAUAUUCCUGGAUAAAUUCCUGAGGGAAACACUGGAAGUAUUCCCGGAGGAAUCCCUGGAAAAAUUCUUGGAGGAAUUGCUGUAGAAAUUCUUGAAAUUAUUUCUGAAGGAAUCCCUGGAGAAUUUUCCGGAAAAAUUCCUGGAGGAAUUGCUGUAGGAAUUUCCGAAGGAAUUUGUGGAUCUCUUCCGGAAGAAAUUAUUGGGAUAAUUUCUGGAGGAAUUCUUGGUGGAAUUCGUGGAGGAGUCUCUUGAGGAAUUCUAGGAGGAAAUCCUGGUGAAAUUUCUGAAUAAAUUCCCAGAAAAUCUCCUAGAGGAAUUCCCAGUGGAAUUCUUGGAGGAAUAUCUGAAGGAAUCAUCGGAGGAUUUCCUGGGGGAAUCUCUGGAAGACUCUUUAAAGGAAUCCCUGAAGGAAAUCCUGGUCGAAUUUCUGGAGGACUGCGUGACAUAAUUCUUGGAGGAAUCUCUGGUGGAAUCCCUGGAGGAGAAAUUCCAGGAUAAAUUCCUGGAGGAAAUCCUGAAAAAAUAUCCUGGUGGAAUUACUGCAAACAUUCUUGAGAGAAUUUCUGAAGGAACCCAUAGAGGAUUUCCUGGAUUAGUUCCUGGAGUAAUUGCUGUAAGAGUUUCUGGAGGAAUUCGUAGAUUAAUUACUGGAGAAAAUCUUUUGGUAAUUCCUGGAGGUAUUCUUGGUGAAAUUCCUGGGGAAAUGCCUGGAGGAAUGCCAGAAGAAUACCCGGAUAAAUUCCGGGAGCAAUUCAUGGGAGAAUUUUUGAAGUAAUCCUUGCAGGAUUUCCUAAAGAAAUGUUUGAAGGAAUUCCUAGAGGAAUCUCAGGAGGAAUUUGUGCAGGAAUCCGUGAAGGAGUUCUUGGAAUAUUGCCUGUACAACCUCCGGGAGGCGGACUUUCUGGAGAAAUUGCCUUAGUAAUUUCUGAAGGAAAUCCUGGAGGAAUGCCUGGAUCAGUUCCUGGAUUAAUUCCCUGAGGAAUUCCUGGGAUAAUUUCUAAACGAAUUCCUGGGAUAAUUCCUGGUGGAAUUCUUAAAGGUAUUCCUGGAGGAGUCCCUGAAUGAAAUCCUGGAAGAAUGCCUGGAUGAAUCCCUAUAGAAAUGCCUAGAGGAACUCCUGGAGGAAUGUCUGGAGGUAUUCCAAAAAUAAUUUCUGGAGGAUUUCCUAGACCAAUCCCUAGAGGAUUCCCUAAAGGAUCUUCUGAAGGAAUUUCUGGAGGAUCCGCUGAAGAUAUUCUUGAUGACAUAACUGUAGGAAUUCCUGGAGGAAUCUCUAGAGAAAUUCCUUGAGAUCCAUCCAGAGGAAUUCCUAAAGGAAUCCCUGGAGAAGUCCCUUGGAUGAAUUUCUGGAGGAUUUUCUUGAAGUAUCACUGGAGGAAUCUUUGAAAAAAAAAUUACUGGAGUAAUUCCUGGACAAAUCUCUGGUGGAAUCUAUAGAGGAAUUCCUUGAGGUAUCUCUCGAGGAAUUCCUAAAAGAAUCCUUGAGAAAUCUCCAGAGGAACACCUGGAGGAAUCCCUGCAUAAAUUCCAUGGGGAAUCCCUGGAGGAAUCUUUUGAGAAAUCCCUGGGUGAAUAUUUCUGGAGGAUUUUCUUGAAGAAUCACUUGAUACCUUCCAGGAUGAACUUCUAGAAGAGCCCCUGAAAGAGUUCCUGGAAGAAUUCAUGAAGGAAUCCCUGGUGGAAUCUCUAGAGGAAUCCCUGGACGAAUACCUGGUUGAAUUUCUAGACGGAAUUCACUGAGGAAUGCUGAAACAAUUCCUGAAAGAAUUUCUGGACGAAUCUCUUAAGGAGUUCCUGGAAGAAUCUAAGAAUCAAUUUCCAAAAUCCAAGGAACAAUUUCCAAAAUCCAAGGGUUUCUGAAGAAAUCCUGGGAGGAAGUAUUGAAGAAAUCGCUGAAUUUCUUGAGGAAAUCCUGAAGGAAUCUUAAAAAGAGUAUGAAGAGUUCGAACAUGUCUGCAGUCAUUCUUGACGAAUUAUUGAAGGAUCAAUUGCAUGAACUCGUCAAGGAUUUUUUUUGAACAAAAUUUUUAAGAAAUUCCUGGAAUAAUUUGUAAGAUUUUCUGAUAGAGUUUCUAGAAGACAUUCCUUCAGAAAUUCUUCGAAUAAUUCCAGAUACAAUUAUUGGAGAAAUCUCUGAAGGAAUACCAGUAGAAAAAUCUUCAAGGAUCUCUGCAGAAAUUCCCGAAGAAAACCGCGAAAACAGCACUGAAACAAUCACUGGAGGAACCUCUAAAGGUAUCCCAGGAGAAAUCCCCAAAGAAAUGUAGGGGAGACUGGGGAGACUUGAUCCCUUUUUCUUAAUUUACCUGAAACUUUGAGAAAAACACAAAACUAGAUCCGAUUUCCGUAUAAAAUGGCAGGUAAACAUCUAUUGCAAGUCUAUACACAACAGAAAGCCUUUAAAUUAUUGUUAAACUUUUCAAAACUGUGUAUUUAUGGAGGCAUGUUUUAUGAUGUAUUUUUCAAAAAUGGGUGACACUUGAUCCCCCUUUGUGAACAUGGUUUAUUUGAAGGGAAAAUAAUUCCAGAGUCUUCCUAUUCAUUUUGUUUUCGAGUUUUCUUGUAUUUUCGAUGAAUAUGGAGUGUUUGAAAUUGUAAGAUUUCCUUAAAUUUUUAAGGAUAUGCCGUAUUUUCAAAAUGGGGAGACUUGAUCCCCAUUUUCUUGGUCUGUACUAAAGUUAUAAUUAUCUGACACAUUUUAUCGUUGAAUAGACUAGAAUUCCAAGUAAAUAGAGGCUUCCGAAUAGAAUUUUAUUUUUCACAUGUAUAAUGUGUGUGUAAUCCUCGAGGGAUCAAGUCUCCCCAUGUCACUGUUGUGUAUACUAAGCUGAAUUAUUUAAAAUAUGUUAACAACAACCUUAUUUGGAUAAAUAAGUUUGAAAGAAUUUUAUUUAAACUAUGUGCUGUGAAAUUUUGACACGAUUUGGUUCAAUUUUCACAAAGUUAUUGAGAUUUUUCGGAAUCGCCUAAAAGAUUUCUGAAGGACUGAAAACAAACCAUCAGCCGUUAAAAAAUAAUGCAAUGUACAAUCGAAAUCACUUGUAGCCAAAACAUAGUCGUUUGUCCAGGAGUAGUUUUGGAAAAAUUAUGCUAGAAGAAAAAUGUUUUUGAUUCCGAGCAAAUAUGGGGGGAACAAGUCUCCCCAGGGAUCAAGUCUCCUCAGUCUCCCCUACUGAGUAGUAUUAUACUGAUAUAUAAACAAACACGAAUAUUUUUGUUUCAAAUGAACUAAAUUUGUCUCCGUGCAAGUUUCACUAACCUUUGCAUGUUUUCUAAAUGUCGUUUUCGUUUUUGUGUGUUUUCCCUCAUUCAAUUUUAGUUUGACCGCCAGAGCUCCAUCCGGUACAGCUCCCGUCGAGCAAAGACGCUUGAAUCACUGGCAUCACUGUACGAGGACGACGAUCUGAUUUCGGCCGUGGAGGAAAGUGCCCUGCUGCAGCGCAAGUACGACAAAUACCUGGACCAGGUCAUCAUCAACGAGGACUUCGACGUCACAUUCCGAGCCGUUACGGAUGCACUGGAGGCCCUGAGCCACGAACACCAGUGGGUACCGGUCAACUGGAUCUACUAGGGGCGGUUGGCUUGAGGGGAUUGUCGAAAGUAAAAUGUGUUCAAAUUGAAUCCGAAUCCGAAUCCGAAUCAGAAAGUAUCGCUAGAAGGCCAUAACCGCAAAAAUGAAAUCACAUUGAAUUCACGUUUGUCCUCGCGUUGGAGGCGAAUGGGUAAAGUAAUAGUAUAGCUUCGACAAGUGUGCAAGUAUCUAGAAUCGUUCAAACUGAUGCAAACUCCAUAUCCUCUCAUUCAAUCAAAAUACGAUAAUUCGAGACUAGCCUCAACUUUGUCUAAGUGCAUUUUUGAUUAAAUCAACCAUAUUAGUAGAGCAUGGAUAUCAGCUUGACAACCCGGGUAGACGAGAAUAUCUAAAUCAUAUCUCAAAUCGAACACUUUUUGCUGUCAUAGCUCAAUGUGAUUUUGAUGAGUUAUUCAAAAUUCUAAUGAAUAUCGCACGAAUAGCUCAAAGUGAUAUGAUAUCAAUUUUUGUUCUUGUCGAAAUAGCUGAAAAUUACAGCAUAAGAACAAGUUCUGCUCUUCUGCACGAAAUGGAACACAUACACCCAUAGAGAUGACUUAAUGUUAGUGAAAUUUCUGAGCUGUGGAAACGAAGAGCCGCAUGCUCUUAUUCCCAUGUUGUUUACAACAGCGAGCCACAGUUGAGUGGUAAGCACCGUCGCCUCUGAAUCCUAAGGUCGUUGGUUCGAUGCUGGAUGCUGCCAUUUUUUUAAAUUUUUUUUCUUGAAAAAAAGUGACGUAUCUUGUCUGCUAUUGUUUUGAUCUUGUAAUAUCUUAACGAGCUAUUAUUGAGUAGUUCACCAUAUUAGAUUUUGCUAUUAUUUUUGUUCUUUUAUCUCUUAUAUCAAUCAAACCAAUAUCAGUUUUUGCUCUUCAGUAAUUCAAUCAAUCAUAACUGAAUAUGCUGUUCAUGAGAUUUUUCCACCUACUCGGGAAGCCCUAUCGCAACGUACUAUCAUUAGGAAAUCGUCCGAAUCUACGACAAAAGAUCGUUAGAGUCAACUUAGAAAAGCCUAAUCGUCAAAUAAAUCAAAAGGUAUUAGUGUCUAAUCGGUGGCAUAAACCACCAUCCAACACAUAAGCGCCUUCGCAGGAGUUCAGAAUCUAUGCAUUAUAGUAUGUAAGUCGUAAUUACGCCGGUAGUAGUUCAGCUAUUAAGUGAAAACCAUUUCGUCCAUUAUGUUUAGUUAAUUCGAAGAAGAAAGAUUAGAAAUGUAUAAUCAACCACACACACAACAAGUGUGUGAGGGGCAAUAUUAGCUCGUGUGCGAUGAGUAAGAUUGAAUCUACUAAUAGACGUUUAGCAUUAUUAAGAAUCUCCCGAAUCGAUUGUACUCGUUUGAGUUGUGUUUGGUUUGAUAGACUAGCAUGACGAAGAAUCUUGUUUUUAUUACUAUUAAACUGAAACAGUUAGCCCUAAGUUUGAAAGCAACUGUUAAGGAAACUAUUUGUUGUAGAUUUUCAUUGAAUUUAUAGAAAUGGAAUGCGAAUAAAAUAUCAGAUAACCUUCGAUGAAA